GACGAACGCUGGCGGCGUGCUUAACACAUGCAAGUCGAACGGUGAUGCUCCAGCUUGCUGGAGUGGAUCAGUGGCGAACGGGUGAGUAACACGUGAGCAACCUGCCCCAGACUCUGGAAUAAGCGCUGGAAACGGCGUCUAAUACUGGAUACGAAACUGGCCCGCAUGGGCAUGGUUUGGAAAGUUUUUCGGUUUGGGAUGGGCUCGCGGCCUAUCAGCUUGUUGGUGAGGUAAUGGCUCACCAAGGCGACGACGGGUAGCCGGCCUGAGAGGGCGACCGGCCACACUGGGACUGAGACACGGCCCAGACUCCUACGGGAGGCAGCAGUGGGGAAUAUUGCACAAUGGGCGAAAGCCUGAUGCAGCGACGCCGCGUGAGGGAUGACGGCCUUCGGGUUGUAAACCUCUUUCAGCAGGGAAGAAGCGAAAGUGACGGUACCUGCAGAAGAGGCACCGGCUAACUACGUG
This 468-nucleotide ribosomal RNA is filed under the name uncultured bacterium. RNAcentral's name for it is "partial 16S ribosomal RNA". It matches the Rfam family "Bacterial small subunit ribosomal RNA", at positions 28 to 507 of the family's 1533-position model. The record is from RNAcentral.